RNAcentral lists this ribosomal RNA (423 nucleotides) under Triticum aestivum (bread wheat). RNAcentral's name for it is "partial small subunit ribosomal RNA". Lineage: Eukaryota; Viridiplantae; Streptophyta; Magnoliopsida; Poales; Poaceae. The record is from RNAcentral.
AUGACUCGAUGCACUGACUGCCCACGGACUGCGCCACUGAAGCGACUGACUUCGAAGGAGGAGAAGAAUGGGAACUUUGGGCGCGAGUUCAUCAAAUGCGAGAGCAAGCCGGAGGGGCAGAUCAUGAAGAAAUGCCACCAUUUCGAGUGGAAGGAUGAUUACAUCCAGAGGCUUCAAGGGUUGGGCUUGCUGGACUCGAGGGGGAAUGCAAUCCGCGAGUUCAAUCUGCCCCAUGACAGUGCCGCUCCGGUAGCAGCAGCGAGUCCGGAAUACCCGACGGUGGUAGAUGUUGAACUGAAGACGGAAUUGAAGAAGAUGAACAAGAACUUCAAGCAGCUGAUUGAGUUGAAGAAGCAAUCCAAUCUGAUAGCUUUAGGAAUACUUGCUCUAGGAAUUUUUUACUUGAUGGCCAUCUCUCGUUAG